This 235-nucleotide ribosomal RNA is filed under the name uncultured bacterium. Its description in RNAcentral is "partial 16S ribosomal RNA". It matches the Rfam family "Bacterial small subunit ribosomal RNA", at positions 100 to 334 of the family's 1533-position model. The record is from RNAcentral.
CGGUACGGGUGCGUAACACGUGUGCAACCUGCCUUUAUCUGGGGGAUAGCCUUUCGAAAGGAAGAUUAAUACUCCAUAAUAUAUUGAACGGCAUCGUUUAAUGUUGAAAGCUCCGGCGGAUAGAGAUGGGCACGCGCAAGAUUAGCUAGUUGGUGAGGUAACGGCUCACCAAGGCGAUGAUCUUUAGGGGGCCUGAGAGGGUGAUCCCCCACACUGGGACUGAGACACGGCCCAA